CGAACUAACGCUGGCGGCGUGCCUAACACAUGCAAGUCGUACGAGAAAGCCGGCUUCGGCUGGUGAGUAAAGUGGCGAACGGGUGAGUAACACGUGAGCAACCUGCCCCAGACUCUGGGAUAACAGUUGGAAACAGCUGCUAAUACCGGAUACGAGACGGAGAGGCAUCUCUACCGUCUGGAAAGUUUUUCGGUCUGGGAUGGACUCGCGGCCUAUCAGCUAGUUGGUGAGGUAAUGGCUCACCAAGGCGACGACGGGUAGCCGGCCUGAGAGGGCGACCGGCCACACUGGGACUGAGACACGGCCCAGACUCCUACGGGAGGCAGCAGUGGGGAAUAUUGCACAAUGGGCGAAAGCCUGAUGCAGCGACGCCGCGUGAGGGAUGACGGCCUUCGGGUUGUAAACCUCUUUCAGCAGGGAAGAAGCGAAAGUGACGGUACCUGCAGAAGAAGCACCGGCUAACUACGUG
This 469-nucleotide ribosomal RNA is filed under the name uncultured bacterium. Its description in RNAcentral is "bacterial SSU rRNA". It matches the Rfam family "Bacterial small subunit ribosomal RNA", at positions 27 to 507 of the family's 1533-position model. The record is from RNAcentral.